UACGAAGGGGGCUAGCGUUGUUCGGAUUUACUGGGCGUAAAGCGCACGUAGGCGGAUCGUUAAGUCGGGGGUGAAAUCCUGGAGCUCAACUCCAGAACUGCCUUCGAUACUGGCGAUCUCGAGUCCGGAAGAGGUGAGUGGAACUGCGAGUGUAGAGGUGAAAUUCGUAGAUAUUCGCAAGAACACCAGUGGCGAAGGCGGCUCACUGGCCCGGUACUGACGCUGAGGUGCGAAAGCGUGGGGAGCAAACAGG
Molecule: ribosomal RNA, 253 nt
Filed under: uncultured bacterium
Lineage: Bacteria
Description: partial 16S ribosomal RNA
Rfam family: Bacterial small subunit ribosomal RNA
Source: RNAcentral